GUCUACGGCCAUGCUACCUUAAACAAGCCUUAUCCUGUCUGAUCUUGGAAGCUAAGCAGGGUCAGGCCUGAUUAGUACUUGAAUGAGAGACCACCUAUUAGUACUUGAAUGAGAGAUCACCUAAGAAGACCAGGUGCUGUAGGCU
This 145-nucleotide ribosomal RNA is filed under the name Pteropus alecto (black flying fox). The record is from RNAcentral. Lineage: Eukaryota; Metazoa; Chordata; Mammalia; Chiroptera; Pteropodidae.